AUGAUAAAAACGUGAAAUAUCGUAAAUGGAUCCGUGCUUUUAAAUUCAUACAGUCAUUAGCUGUCAGAGUGAACACAUUAAUAUUAUUUUAGAUUCUGAGUGGAGCGAAGAAGUUUAUGGUUUUACAGAGAUGUUUGUUUUUUUUUCUGUAGACAACUUUUCUACCAGAAAUCUUGCUCCGAUUUUUAAGUGUAACAUCUUUUCUGAAAAUCAGACUGGGAAGGUAUUCUAAGGAGGUAAUUUUUUGAUUUCCUCUAGGAGUUUUCUCAAUAAAUGGAAAAACCGAGAAAAUAGGUACAAUAUUAAACAAAUAUUAUUCAAGAAAAUAUAUAUUUUCUAAGUAAUUGUUUUACUAUAGUAUGACACAUAUAUUGUUGACAAAGCAACACUAUCAACCGAACUUCACUCAGAAUCGUUUUUUCGUUAGCAACGGUUUAUCGUUGCUUACAGAUGUUCCUAUAUAAAAUUUCCCUUCUACGACCUUCCCAAC
Cinara cedri is the source of this 490-nucleotide non-coding RNA. The record is from the annotation of a GenBank genome assembly. Lineage: Eukaryota; Metazoa; Arthropoda; Insecta; Hemiptera; Aphididae.